GGAGGAGGAGGCGGAGGAGGCGGAGGAGGCGGAGCGCGCCCUAAUGGCACCAAGCAUCACCCUCCCAUCUUGGUCCCGAACGGAAGGAGUCGGUGGUUGUUCCUGGCCAUUGAGGAGGUGGUGAGAAGAAGGGCUUGGAAGAGACGUCACAUCCCUUGCAGCUGUGCCGGGCAGCGGUGAAAGGAUCCGGAGAGGAGCGCCGAUGGAAAAAGUUGGGAGAGAAGAUGACAACUGCAACCGAAACUUAAGGUGACCACCACAGGACUCAAGGCACGAAUCAAACGGGAACACCACCGUCAGUUCUGAAACAGAAAGCUGAUGAAUCUGAGAUGGCAGCUGGAGAGUGCUCCGGCUUCGACUGUGAGCCCCAGGUGUGGGACCUGAUCAUCUCACACCUACCUACCCCAAUACUUAGGACAGUGCUUGACACAUGGGGUAUUGUGAAGGCCUCUAGUCUUUGAACAAUUUAACCGGGAAGAGGAGGAACUCCUGCAGGAAUGGAAAGCCUUGCAGCCUUUUACAGUCUGGACAGGUCGGAGCUUUUUUUUGUGGUAAAUGAGCUGCUUUAGGGAUCCAGAAAGCCAUCAAUUCAUAGUAUUUGAAUGCCCAUUGUGUGCAGAGCACUCUACUAAGUGCUUGAGAGAGAACUGUAGUUAGUAGACAUGAUCCCUGCCCUCAAGGGGGUUUACAAUCCAGCAGCCCGCGGGGAACAAUUUAGCAAGCAUUACUAAAGCAGCAUGGCCUACUGGAUACAGCUCGGGGCCUCCUGGGAGUCAGAAGAUCAUGGGU
This is a long non-coding RNA of Ornithorhynchus anatinus (platypus), 789 nucleotides long. RefSeq lists it as uncharacterized. The record is from RefSeq and is a predicted model, not a curated record. Lineage: Eukaryota; Metazoa; Chordata; Mammalia; Monotremata; Ornithorhynchidae. The transcript has 4 exons.